CCUGGGGCUCACGCCCCAGGCUUUAUGCUUUCGCCAGCUUCGCUGGCU
Molecule: non-coding RNA, 48 nt
Organism: Acidobacteria bacterium 13_1_40CM_3_55_6
Lineage: Bacteria; Pseudomonadati; Acidobacteriota
Source: Rfam